Molecule: long non-coding RNA, 1800 nt
Filed under: Heterocephalus glaber (naked mole-rat)
Lineage: Eukaryota; Metazoa; Chordata; Mammalia; Rodentia; Bathyergidae
Description: lncRNA (ENSHGLG00000039408.1)
Source: RNAcentral
GCCCCGACGCCCCCUGGCACGGGGUGCGCGCGCCGCCCGGUGGCGACCGGAUCAGGGGCGAGGGCGGCUCGAGAAAGGCGCCGCUUCCCCCUGGCGGCUUCCGACCUUUCGUUUCCUCGCUGAGCUCGCGGCGGUUUGGUUCUAAAAGAAACGCAAAGCUGGCUCGGGCCCCUCAGUCCGGGUAUGUGGAUUUGAGAAAUCGAAACGGCGCGCGUUUAAGACACCAUGCGUCCCCGGAGUCCUCCUCUGGCCCCUCUGUUUCGACCCCAGGGAGGCGCGCGGAAGAAAGGCGCCCGGAGCCGCCGUCACCUCUGUCACAUCCGCCCUGCUGGGGACCCGUCGGCGACUCGCUCCUGGCCCCGGCUCAGUGUGCUCUUUAGCCCGGAGGAGCGGGCGGUGGGGACCCCCGGGACUCCUAUCGCACCGAGGCGGGUGCCCAGCCCCAAGCCGCCCGGUCUCGUCGCCAUGCAGAGUUCAGGUUUUGUACCAACGGAAACUAGAAUUUGACCCUGCUCGAUCCCUUGCCAGCUGCUGCAGAGCCACUGACGGCCGGGGCUGGGUGUGGUGCACACGAUACCCACGGUUUAGGCUUGCUGGGGUUCUGCAGCGCCGGGCCACGCGCCCCCUCGUGGCUAGAGCGAGAACAGCGCACGGCGGGAGCGCAAGGGGCCUGAGGGGUCACCUGCCAGCUGGGCGCCCGCGCUGUGUCCUGGCGGCCGUGUUCCCAGUCGCUCCGUAGCCUCUCCGCGUUCCGACGCUUAGUGAUGGUGGGAGUGUGUCCACCGCCUCACCACGCACACUCCUGGAGUUGGGAUGUGGCCCUGCACUGCGACCCUCACCAUCUGGCCCAUGGAUUGUGCGCUGCGGCGUGUGUCGAGGAGGAGCGAGCAGAGGCGGCCCAGAGCCCGUGAGCUGGGGCUCUGCAGUGUGUCCAAGGGCCAGCAGUCCAGACUUCCAGGCCUCCACACCUUCUCAGAAGUCGCCCCCCCCCCCAGUCACUGCCCAGGGUGCCGGUGCCCUCUUUCCUCCUGCAGUGGUUUGGGGGGUCACAGGAGAUGUAUUCUUACACAGGGAGGGGCCAGGACCUCAGAGAGACCUGGGUGUGGCCCAAAGGUGCUACUGCCUCGCUGCACUGUGGCCCCAGUGCGCUGUGACCCCAAGUCCCUCCCAGCGUGAGGAUAGCAAACCCAGCUCUCAGCACAUCUCACUCAAGGCCAGCUAUGUUCCCAACCAACUCUGAGGGCGGGAGCUGGCUGUCCCCGGAAGGAAGCCCCGGCAGUCUUUCCCUGUCUGGGCUGGGCUUCAGGAGGGAGUUUCCUGAAAGGUGAGCCUGCCUGCCUCCAGCUUCGCCGUGCAGGAGGAACCCUAAGUAUGACCUGGCUGGCCACCUGCCCAGCGCCAGGUGAACCUGCAGCUCUGGGGCUCACCCUCUGGGACUGGUGACUUUUGGAGGGGACAGAUAGUGAGCAUGGGCGGAGGAGAGGUGUGGACAUUCCGGGCCGGGUGGCAUGGAUGCAAUCAGGGCAGGCUGUGUCCUCCUGGCUGCUCCUCCUGGGGCUUUGCUUUUCUCAGAGAAGGAGCAUGGAGAUGGGAGGCUCUUCAGGGGCACAGCCUGGGAGGAGUGGGGUGGAGGACAGGCGGGCAAAGGAAGGAAAAGCGGAGCAGAGAGGAGACAGCCGGGGGCAGGGAAGAAGAGCAGGAAGCUGAGGAGUCACGUCCAGAGGAAAGGGGUGACCGGAAGGCCAAGGGAGACUUAUCUGAAGUAGCUGCAGAGUAGGCAGGGACGGGAGAGUCAGCCAG